Molecule: ribosomal RNA, 369 nt
Filed under: Trachystoma petardi (pinkeye mullet)
Lineage: Eukaryota; Metazoa; Chordata; Actinopteri; Mugiliformes; Mugilidae
Description: partial 12S ribosomal RNA
Rfam family: Bacterial small subunit ribosomal RNA
Source: RNAcentral
CUUAUCCGCCCGGGGAUUACGAGCCGCGGCUUAAAACCCAAAGGACUUGGCGGUGCUUAAGACCCACCUAGAGGAGCCUGUUCUAUAACCGAUAAUCCUCGUUUAACCUCACCCUCUUUUGCUCCCUUUCCGCCUAUAUACCGCCGUCGUCAGCUUACCCUUUGAGGGAUUAAUAGUAAGCAUAAAUGGCAUUGCCCAAAACGUCAGGUCGAGGUGCAGCGUAUGAGAGGGGAAGAAAUGGGCUACAUUUCCUAAUCAGGAAACUACGAAAGAUUUGAUUGAAACAUUGAUUCAGAAGGAGGAUUUAGCAGUAAAUGAAAAGCAAUGCGCUUCAUUGAAGCCGGCUCUAAAGCAUGCACACACCGCCCG